Molecule: ribosomal RNA, 373 nt
Filed under: uncultured bacterium
Lineage: Bacteria
Description: bacterial SSU rRNA
Rfam family: Bacterial small subunit ribosomal RNA
Source: RNAcentral
GGGGGGAGCAAGCGUUGUUCGGAUUUACUGGGCGUAAAGGGCGCGUAGGCGGUCAGCACAAGUCAGUUGUGAAAUCUCCGGGCUUAACUCGGAAAGGUCAACUGAUACUGUGCGACUAGAGUGCGGAAGGGGCAACUGGAAUUCUCGGUGUAGCGGUGAAAUGCGUAGAUAUCGAGAGGAACACCUGCGGCGAAGGCGGGUUGCUGGGCCGACACUGACGCUGAGGCGCGAAAGCCAGGGGAGCGAACGGGAUUAGAUACCCCGGUAGUCCUGGCCUUAAACGAUGGAUGCUUGGUGUCUGGAGUUUUAUAGUCUCCGGGUGCCGCAGCUAACGCGUUAAGCAUCCCGCCUGGGGAGUACGGUCACAAGACUG